This 619-nucleotide ribosomal RNA is filed under the name uncultured bacterium. RNAcentral's name for it is "bacterial SSU rRNA". It matches the Rfam family "Bacterial small subunit ribosomal RNA", at positions 338 to 948 of the family's 1533-position model. The record is from RNAcentral.
CCUACGGGAGGCAGCAGUGGGGAAUUUUGGACAAUGGGCGAAAGCCUGAUCCAGCAAUGCCGCGUGAGUGAAGAAGGCCUUCGGGUUGUAAAGCUCUUUUGUCAGGGAAGAAACGGUGAGGGCUAAUAUCCUUUGCUAAUGACGGUACCUGAAGAAUAAGCACCGGCUAACUACGUGCCAGCAGCCGCGGUAAUACGUAGGGUGCAAGCGUUAAUCGGAAUUACUGGGCGUAAAGCGUGCGCAGGCGGUUUUGUAAGUCUGAUGUGAAAUCCCCGGGCUCAACCUGGGAAUUGCAUUGGAGACUGCAAGGCUAGAAUCUGGCAGAGGGGGGUAGAAUUCCACGUGUAGCAGUGAAAUGCGUAGAGAUGUGGAGGAACACCGAUGGCGAAGGCAGCCCCCUGGGUCAAGAUUGACGCUCAUGCACGAAAGCGUGGGGAGCAAACAGGAUUAGAUACCCUGGUAGUCCACGCCCUAAACGAUGUCUACUAGUUGUCGGGUUUUAAUUAACUUGGUAACGCAGCUAACGCGUGAAGUAGACCGCCUGGGGAGUACGGUCGCAAGAUUAAAACUCAAAUUGAAUUGACCGGNUGAGAGNGCGAGACGACGACGAGGGAGGAGG